UACAGAGGGGGCAAGCGUUGUUCGGAUUUACUGGGCGUAAAGGGCGCGUAGGCGGCCUCCGCAAGUCAGUUGUGAAAUCUCCGAGCUUAACUCGGAAAGGUCAACUGAUACUGCGGGGCUAGAGUGCGGAAGGGGCAACUGGAAUUCUUGGUGUAGCGGUGAAAUGCGUAGAUAUCAAGAGGAACACCUGCGGCGAAGGCGGGUUGCUGGGCCGACACUGACGCUGAGGCGCGAAAGCUAGGGGAGCGAACGGG
Molecule: ribosomal RNA, 254 nt
Filed under: uncultured bacterium
Lineage: Bacteria
Description: partial 16S ribosomal RNA
Rfam family: Bacterial small subunit ribosomal RNA
Source: RNAcentral